GUAAUCGCAGAUCAGCAUGCUGCGGUGAAUACGUUCCCGGGUCUUGUACACACCGCCCGUCACACCAUGGGAGCCGGGAAUGCCCGAAGUCAGCGGCCCAACCGAAAGGGGGGAGCUGCCGAAGGCAGGCCUGGUGACUGGGGCGAAGUCGUAACAAGGUAUC
RNAcentral lists this ribosomal RNA (163 nucleotides) under uncultured bacterium. RNAcentral describes it as "partial 16S ribosomal RNA". It matches the Rfam family "Bacterial small subunit ribosomal RNA", at positions 1338 to 1500 of the family's 1533-position model. The record is from RNAcentral.